AUUGAACGCUGGCGGCAUGCCUUACACAUGCAAGUCGAACGGUAACAGGUCUUCGGAUGCUGACGAGUGGCGAACGGGUGAGUAAUACAUCGGAACGUGCCUAGUAGUGGGGGAUAACUACUCGAAAGAGUGGCUAAUACCGCAUGAGAUCUACGGAUGAAAGCAGGGGAUCGCAAGACAUUGCGCUACUAGAGCGGCCGAUGGCAGAUAUGGUAGUUGGUGGGAUAAAAGCUUACCAAGCCGACGAUCUGUAGCUGGUAUGAGAGGACGAUUAGCCACACUGGGACUGAGACACGGCCCAGACUCCUACGGGAGGCAGCAGUGGGGAAUUUUGGACAAUGGGCGAAAGCCUGAUCCAGCAAUGCCGCGUGCAGGAUGAAGGCCUUCGGGUUGUAAACUGCUUUUGUACGGAACGAAAAGCCCCGGGUUAAUACCCUGGGGUCAUGACGGUACCGUAAGAAUAAGCACCGGCUAACUACGUGCCAGCCGCCGCGGUAA
RNAcentral lists this ribosomal RNA (498 nucleotides) under uncultured bacterium. RNAcentral's name for it is "partial 16S ribosomal RNA". It matches the Rfam family "Bacterial small subunit ribosomal RNA", at positions 30 to 523 of the family's 1533-position model. The record is from RNAcentral.